GAUGAACGCUGGCGGCGUGCCUAAUACAUGCAAGUCGAGCGAACAGACGAGGAGCUUGCUCCUCUGACGUUAGCGGCGGACGGGUGAGUAACACGUGGAUAACCUACCUAUAAGACUGGGAUAACUUCGGGAAACCGGAGCUAAUACCGGAUAAUAUAUUGAACCGCAUGGUUCAAUAGUGAAAGACGGUUUUGCGGUCACUUAUAGAUGGAUCCGCGCCGCAUUAGCUAGUUGGUAAGGUAACGGCUUACCAAGGCAACGAUGCGUAGCCGACCUGAGAGGGUGAUCGGCCACCCUGGAACUGAGACACGGUCCAGACUCCUACGGGAGGCAGCAGUAGGGAAUCUUCCGCAAUGGGCGAAAGCUUGACGGAGCAACGCCGCGUGAGUGAUGAAGGUCUUCGGAUCGUAAAACUCUGUUAUUAGGGAAGAACAAAUGUGUAAGUAACUAUGCCCGUCUUGACGGUACCUAAUCAGAAAGCCCCGGCUAACUACGUG
RNAcentral lists this ribosomal RNA (497 nucleotides) under uncultured bacterium. RNAcentral describes it as "partial 16S ribosomal RNA". It matches the Rfam family "Bacterial small subunit ribosomal RNA", at positions 28 to 507 of the family's 1533-position model. The record is from RNAcentral.